Molecule: ribosomal RNA, 254 nt
Filed under: uncultured bacterium
Lineage: Bacteria
Description: partial 16S ribosomal RNA
Rfam family: Bacterial small subunit ribosomal RNA
Source: RNAcentral
CACGUAGGGACCAAGCGUUGUCCGGAUUCAUUGGGCGUAAAGAGCUCGUAGGCGGUUCGAUAAGUCGGGUGUGAAACCUCCAGGCUCAACCUGGAGACGCCACCCGAUACUGUCGUGACUAGAGUCCAGUAGGGGAGCGUGGAAUUCCUGGUGUAGCGGUGAAAUGCGCAGAUAUCAGGAGGAACACCGAUGGCGAAGGCAGGUCUCUGGGACGGUACUGACGCUGAGACGCGAAAGCGUGGGGAGCGAACAGG